UCCCCAAGCCUGACCCACUGAAGUGCUUA
Molecule: non-coding RNA, 29 nt
Filed under: Mus musculus (house mouse)
Lineage: Eukaryota; Metazoa; Chordata; Mammalia; Rodentia; Muridae
Source: RNAcentral